UGGGUGGAAUUGAUGUUGGGAAGAUAGAUU
This 30-nucleotide non-coding RNA is filed under the name Homo sapiens (human). The record is from RNAcentral. Lineage: Eukaryota; Metazoa; Chordata; Mammalia; Primates; Hominidae.